GGGCUUAUAGUUAAAUGGUAUAACCGCAUACUCUUAAUAUGCAGUUCAGGGUUCAAUUCCCUGUGGGCCUACC
Molecule: transfer RNA, 73 nt
Filed under: Rhodococcus phage Trina
Lineage: Duplodnaviria; Heunggongvirae; Uroviricota; Caudoviricetes
Description: tRNA-Lys
Rfam family: tRNA
About the family: Transfer RNA (tRNA) molecules are approximately 80 nucleotides in length. Their secondary structure includes four short double-helical elements and three loops (D, anti-codon, and T loops).
Source: RNAcentral